UACAGGGGGGGCUAGUAUUAUUCUACAUGGCUGGGCGUAAAGGAUAUGUAGGUGGUUCUUUUUAAUUUUAAAUGAAAAGCUAUAAAAAAUUUAUAGAUAAAUUUAUUAUAUUUUAGAUCUUGGAGUUUAUAGAAGAUAAUAGAAUUCGAUUAGAGUAAAUGUGAAAUGUGGCAAGACUAGGGGGAAUUCCAAAUAGCGAAAGCAAUUAUCUCAUUAAAACUGACACUGAAAUAUGAAGGUAUGGUAAAGAAGCGAAUAGG
Molecule: ribosomal RNA, 260 nt
Filed under: uncultured bacterium
Lineage: Bacteria
Description: partial 16S ribosomal RNA
Rfam family: Bacterial small subunit ribosomal RNA
Source: RNAcentral